RNAcentral lists this long non-coding RNA (627 nucleotides) under Mus caroli (Ryukyu mouse). RNAcentral's name for it is "lncRNA (MGP_CAROLIEiJ_G0013631.1)". The stretch from base 1 to 136 matches the Rfam family "SOX2 overlapping transcript exon 3", at positions 138 to 276 of the family's 276-position model. Lineage: Eukaryota; Metazoa; Chordata; Mammalia; Rodentia; Muridae. The record is from RNAcentral.
AGCUCCUUCAACUCGUUCUGUCCGGUGAGGAGUGAUCCAGCUUGGGCUGACGAGAGGCUCCGGAGCCUUCACGUUCAGUGCUUUUUACCUGCCAAUCAAACUGCUACAAGACAACACCCUGAUCUGGCAUGGUCGCGCGCAUCGAACCUAGAAAUUGUACUCUCCUCAAUCCGCUUAAGAGAAUCUGGCUGAUGGCUUUGGUCUGAGAGUUCAGACAUCUCUUGUGCAGCUAAGAAAGACCUCAUUUUCCAUUUGCUGGAUCCUCCUGGUUUGUCAUCCCUGAAUCCUGUAAGAAGGUCAUCAGGAGGUCCCCUGCGCUAGAAGGACCAUGUGAGUUCAUCCCAGAUGAUGGGUGGCACCAUGGUUUUAGCAGCUCACACAGUGGAGAACCACAUUCGCUCUGGAAGAGCUUGGCAACAUGUAUUUGGUAACAGAACAAGGGACAAGGUCUCAUGUAGCUACAGCUGACCUAGAACUUCCUGUCUAUCAACAACUCACUACUUAGCCAAACUUAACCCAGAGCUUCUUGCUGAUCCUUAUGUCUCUACUUCACAGUCUCCUGGCUUAAUUCUGUGCUGGAUAUCAAACCCGGAAUUUCUUUUUCUUUCUCUUUUUUUGAGGGGGUCC